CGACGAACCAUCCUGUUGAUUGAAGCUUGCUUCUUGAUUCAGAUUUUGGUGAGUGGCGGACGGGUGAGUAACACGUGGGUAACCUGCCCAAAAGUGGGGGAUAACAUUUGGAAACAAGUGCUAAUACCGCAUAACAACUGCUUUCACAUGAUCGCAGCUUGAAAGAUGGCUCUGCUAUCGCUUUUGGAUGGACCCGCGGCGUAUUAGCUAGUUGGUGAGGUAAUAGCUCACCAAGGCAAUGAUACGUAGCCGACCUGAGAGGGUAAUCGGCCACAUUGGGACUGAGACACGGCCCAAACUCCUACGGGAGGCAGCAGUAGGGAAUCUUCCACAAUGGGCGAAAGCCUGAUGGAGCAAUGCCGCGUGAGUGAAGAAGGUUUUCGGAUCGUAAAACUCUGUUGUUGAAGAAGAACAUGCGUGAGAGUAACUGUUCACGUACUGACGGUAUUCAACCAGAAAGCCACGGCUAACUACGUGCCAGCAGCCGCGGUAAUACGUAGGUGGCAAGCGUUGUCCGGAUUUAUUGGGCGUAAAGAGAAUGUAGGCGGUUUAUUAAGUUUGAAGUGAAAGCCCUCGGCUCAACCGAGGAAGUGCUUCGAAAACUGGUAAACUUGAGUGCAGAAGAGGAAAGUGGAACUCCAUGUGUAGCG
Molecule: ribosomal RNA, 650 nt
Filed under: Companilactobacillus farciminis
Lineage: Bacteria; Bacillati; Bacillota; Bacilli; Lactobacillales; Lactobacillaceae
Description: bacterial SSU rRNA
Rfam family: Bacterial small subunit ribosomal RNA
Source: RNAcentral